CCUACGGGGGGCUGCAGUGGGGAAUAUUGGACAAUGGGGGCAACCCUGAUCCAGCCAUGCCGCGUGUGUGAAGAAGGCCCUCGGGUUGUAAAGCACUUUCAGUGAGGAAGAACGCCUGGUGGUUAAUACCCAUCAGGAAAGACAUCACUCACAGAAGAAGCACCGGCUAACUCCGUGCCAGCAGCCGCGGUAAUACGGAGGGUGCGAGCGUUAAUCGGAAUUACUGGGCGUAAAGCGCGCGUAGGUGGCUUGAUAAGCCGGUUGUGAAAGCCCCGGGCUCAACCUGGGAACGGCAUCCGGAACUGUCAAGCUAGAGUGCAGGAGAGGAAGGUGGAAUUCCCGGUGUAGCGGUGAGAUGCGUAGAGAUCGGGAGGAAUACCAGUGGCGAAGGCGGCCUUCUGGACUGACACUGACACUGAGGUGCGAAAGCGUGGGUAGCAAACAGGAUUAGAUACCCUUGUAGUC
Molecule: ribosomal RNA, 465 nt
Filed under: Vreelandella stevensii
Lineage: Bacteria; Pseudomonadati; Pseudomonadota; Gammaproteobacteria; Oceanospirillales; Halomonadaceae
Description: partial 16S ribosomal RNA
Rfam family: Bacterial small subunit ribosomal RNA
Source: RNAcentral